This 418-nucleotide ribosomal RNA is filed under the name bacterium enrichment culture clone ALO1_GLFRUDD03G10DX. RNAcentral's name for it is "bacterial SSU rRNA". It matches the Rfam family "Bacterial small subunit ribosomal RNA", at positions 9 to 428 of the family's 1533-position model. The record is from RNAcentral.
GAGUUUGAUCAUGGCUCAGAUUGAACGCUGGCGGCAUGCCUUACACAUGCAAGUCGAACGGCAGCACGGGAGCUUGCUCCUGGGUGGCGAGUGGCGAACGGGUGAGUAAUGCAUCGGAACGUAUCCUGGAGUGGGGGAUAACGUAGCGAAAGUUACGCUAAUACCGCAUAUUCUGUGAGCAGGAAAGCGGGGGACCUUCGGGCCUCGCGCUCUUGGAGCGGCCGAUGUCGGAUUAGCUAGUUGGUGAGGUAAAGGCUCACCAAGGCGACGAUCCGUAGCAGGUCUGAGAGGAUGAUCUGCCACACUGGAACUGAGACACGGUCCAGACUCCUACGGGAGGCAGCAGUGGGGAAUUUUGGACAAUGGGGGCAACCCUGAUCCAGCCAUGCCGCGUGAGUGAAGAAGGCCUCGGUUGUAA